Long non-coding RNA from Bufo bufo (common toad), 396 nucleotides. RefSeq lists it as uncharacterized. The record is from RefSeq and is a predicted model, not a curated record. NCBI's taxonomy places the organism in Eukaryota, Metazoa, Chordata, Amphibia, Anura, Bufonidae. The transcript has 3 exons.
AUCAUCACAGGUCCUGUACCUUCUCCUACAGCACAGCCUGGAGCCCGACUCCUGUACAUGGUGGUAGAAAUUACAGCCCAGGAGGCUCCAUAGUGAAGGGUUGUCAGAGGAGGACACGCCUGCCCCCAGGUUCCUACAAUAUAGGAUCUUCUCAGUGGAGAUCUUCUAUAUAAUAUCCUUCUUCUGAUUGACCUAUCAAGGAUGGAUAGGGACAGGGACAAGAUGGCAGAGAGGAUAAUAAAUCUCACCCUAGAGAUUCUCUUCCGGCUUACUGGAGAGGACUACACAGUGGUGAAGAAGGCCUCUAUUGAGCGCUGUCAGGACCCUGUGUCUGAAGGAUGGGGAAGAACCCUGAGCCCAAUCACAGGGCCUCCUUCUCACCCCCUGAUACAUGAG